Molecule: small nucleolar RNA, 120 nt
Filed under: Mustela putorius furo (domestic ferret)
Lineage: Eukaryota; Metazoa; Chordata; Mammalia; Carnivora; Mustelidae
Description: Small nucleolar RNA U3
Rfam family: Small nucleolar RNA U3
About the family: Small nucleolar RNAs (snoRNAs) are involved in the processing and modification of rRNA in the nucleolus.
Source: Rfam by way of RNAcentral
AAGACUAUACUUUCAGGGAUCAUUUCUAUAGUUUGUUAAUUAGCUUCUGGGCAGUUAACCCAAUUCAGCUGACAAUUAUGAAGAAACUAGAGGGAGGGCUUGUACCUCACUCUGCUGAGU